This 967-nucleotide ribosomal RNA is filed under the name Mucor circinelloides. RNAcentral describes it as "partial large subunit ribosomal RNA". It matches the Rfam family "Eukaryotic large subunit ribosomal RNA", at positions 59 to 937 of the family's 3401-position model. The record is from RNAcentral. Lineage: Eukaryota; Fungi; Mucoromycota; Mucoromycetes; Mucorales; Mucoraceae.
AAGAAAUUACAAUGAUUUCCCUAGUAACGGCGAGUGAAGAGGAAAGAGCUCAAAGUUGGAAACUGUUUGGCUUAGCUAAACCGUAUUGUAAACUGUAGAAACAUUUUCCUGGCACGCCGGAUUAAUAAGUCCUUUGGAACAAGGCAUCAUGGAGGGUGAGAAUCCCGUCUUUGAUCCGAGUAGUUGUCUUUUGUGAUAUGUUUUCAAAGAGUCAGGUUGUUUGGGAAUGCAGCCUAAAUUGGGUGGUAAAUCUCACCUAAAGCUAAAUAUUUGCGAGAGACCGAUAGCGAACAAGUACCGUGAGGGAAAGAUGAAAAGAACUUUGAAAAGAGAGUUAAACAGUAUGUGAAAUUGUUAAAAGGGAACCGUUUGGAGCCAGACUGGUUUGACUGUAAUCAACCUAGAAUUCGUUCUGGGUGCACUUGCAGUCUAUACCUGCCAACAACAGUUUGAUUUGGAGGAAAAAAUUAGUAGGAAUGUAGCCUCUCGAGGUGUUAUAGCCUACUAUCAUACUCUGGAUUGGACUGAGGAACGCAGCGAAUGCCUUUAGGCAAGAUUGCUGGGUGCUUUCGCUAAUAAAUGUUAGAAUUUCUGCUUCGGGUGGUGCUAAUGUUUAAAGGAGGAACACAUCUAGUAUAUUUUUUAUUCGCUUAGGUUGUUGGCUUAAUGACUCUAAAUGACCCGUCUUGAAACACGGACCAAGGAGUCCACCAUAAGUGCAAGUAUUUGAGUGACAAACUCAUAUGCGUAAGGAAACUGAUUGAUACGAAAUCUUUUGAUGGCAGUAUCACCCGGCGUUGACGUUUUAUACUGAACUGACCGAGGUAAAGCACUUAUGAUGGGACCCGAAAGAUGGUGAACUAUGCCUGAAUAGGGUGAAGCCAGAGGAAACUCUGGUGGAGGCUCGUAGCGAUUCUGACGUGCAAAUCGAUCGUCAAAUUUGGGUAUAGGGGCGAAAGACUAAUCG